This 495-nucleotide ribosomal RNA is filed under the name uncultured bacterium. RNAcentral's name for it is "partial 16S ribosomal RNA". It matches the Rfam family "Bacterial small subunit ribosomal RNA", at positions 29 to 506 of the family's 1533-position model. The record is from RNAcentral.
AUGAACGCUGGCGGCGUGCCUAAUACCUGCAAGUCGAGCGAACAGACGAGGAGCUUGCUCCUCUGACGUUAGCGGCGGACGGGUGAGUAACACGUGGAUAACCUACCUAUAAGACUGGGAUAACUUCGGGAAACCGGAGCUAAUACCGGAUAAUAUAUUGAACCGCAUGGUUCAAUAGUGAAAGACGGUUUUGCUGUCACUUAUAGAUGGAUCCGCGCCGCAUUAGCUAGUUGGUAAGGUAACGGCUUACCAAGGCAACGAUGCGUAGCCGACCUGAGAGGGUGAUCGGCCACACUGGAGCUGAGACACGGUCCAGACUCCUACGGGAGGCAGCAGUAGGGAAUCUUCCGCAAUGGGCGAAAGCCUGACGGAGCAACGCCGCGUGAGUGAUGAAGGUCUUCGGAUCGUAAAACUCUGUUAUUAGGGAAGAACAAAUGUGUAAGUAACUAUGCACGUCUUGACGGUACCUAAUCAGAAAGCCACGGCUAACUACGU